Molecule: small nucleolar RNA, 128 nt
Filed under: Sciurus vulgaris (Eurasian red squirrel)
Lineage: Eukaryota; Metazoa; Chordata; Mammalia; Rodentia; Sciuridae
Description: Small nucleolar RNA SNORA70 (ENSSVLG00005014597.1)
Rfam family: Small nucleolar RNA SNORA70
About the family: snoRNA U70 seems to be exclusive to mammals and is a member of the H/ACA class of snoRNA which contain H (ANANNA) and ACA box motifs.
Source: Rfam by way of RNAcentral
GUGCAGCCAGAAUAAUCGAACACCUCUACUCAUGGGGCCCAGUGUGCACUGGCUACAAAUAACAGCCUCCUAGAAGUGUACAGAGUGGUUGCUUUUUUGAUUUACCCUAAGAGACCCUGGAGAUGGCC